This 916-nucleotide long non-coding RNA is filed under the name Homo sapiens (human). RNAcentral's name for it is "non-protein coding lnc-MGMT-3:1". The record is from RNAcentral. Lineage: Eukaryota; Metazoa; Chordata; Mammalia; Primates; Hominidae.
GAGGAGGCAGAGGUAGUAAAGAGAGCCAACCGUUAUAACUGAGGGAGGGCUUCUCAGACGUGGUUGGAGGAGAAGGGGUGGAGCUAGGAAAGAGGGACGGAGUUAAUGUGGGAAGGAGGAGCAGGACCAAGGAGAAGAACACUGAGAACCAGAAAUUAGUACUGAAACUGGAGAGCAUCCCGAAUGGAAACAGCAGCCACCAACCUCCACAGGGCCUGCCGGGACCACCCUGCAGGGUGGUGGCCUGGGAGAGGACCCCAUGCCACAGCCAGGGCCCAUGUGAGAUGGUGUAUAGAGGGACUGUGCUUUGGGGCUGCCAUCACUGCAGAUACCUGAGGGGAAGGCUCCAGCUCUUCUGUCCCCACCCCAGAAUCUGCUGUGCACUGAAGGCAAAGGACUCUAGGGUGGCCUGACCCAGCCAGGGCUGUAGGGUGAAGCCCACUUGCCUCCAGCUGCACAGUUGGCCACAGAACAUCUGGGAUACCUGGCCAAGCCUGGGAGGCAGCUCUCACCAAUACCCUCCAUGUGCCCUGUAGAAUUUCCACCGUGUUCACUGAGAGCACUCUCCAUCAGCAAAAAGGAUCCAUGGUGCUGCUCAUUCUGGCCACUGGUCCCCACUCCUUAUGAAGGCAUCUCCCUCAGAACAUGGUCUCCAAGGGCCCGAGGGUGUGUCCUCACAGAACAUUCUGCACAGCAUUGAGUAGCAGGUUGCUAAAGCUGGAAGCUCCUUGAAGCUUUUCCAGCGGCCCCUUUGGAGGAAAUUCAGGGUCGCUGAUCAAUUUCAGUUACUUCACAAUGCAAAACUUCAAGCUUGCUGCCUUGUUAACAACAAUCGUCAACACUUGUGUGUCUCUUCAUGGCAUACACAUGCACUCUCACAUCUAUUACUUCAUCCGUUUUCACAAUCCAUCUCGAG